Molecule: long non-coding RNA, 682 nt
Organism: Oryza sativa Japonica Group (Japanese rice)
Lineage: Eukaryota; Viridiplantae; Streptophyta; Magnoliopsida; Poales; Poaceae
Source: RefSeq, a predicted model, not a curated record
ACCAAAUAAUGGGGUGACAAAGUAACAAGGGUACACUUGAAUCAACCAGGUUUGGGGCAGCCGAGUAGCCGGGUAGGGGCAGGGCGGAAAUCAACCAGGCACGGCGCCGCGGGAGGACACGGUCGCCGGUCGGGGCCUCGGCGCCUGCCUCGCGGUGGUCUACGCCUCCAUCCUCCGCGGAUUGACCCGGGCAGACAACGACGACGGCUCGGCGUCCGAUGGCCGACGGGGAGAGGCGGAGGCUGCGAGGCGAGGAACGGACGAACGGCGGCGGCACGGUCACGUUUCCUUCCUGCAUUCAGAGGAUGCAUGCAUCCUCUUGGCACCUAAUCCUCUUGGCUCUGAUGCCUCUGAACCGAUUUCAGUCCCGAUCCCAUCCAGCCGGUGCAAAUCGAUUCCGACCAUUCCAGGAGGGGACAGACGAAUUGAUUUGCUUUUGCACAACCAGAGGAUAUGCCACAUCUGAAGACAUCGCUUGCUAAUUGGUGGAAAGGAUAGAGAAUGCCUUUCAAGGACUGAGAACACCCCAAACUCCCCAAGUAAGUUCCUUGUCAUUUUUGUGAUUAAAUUCAUGUCGCAUUUGUGAAAUAAAGGGAAACAUAAACUUCAGCAGACACCAAGUUCUGCAAUGUUUUGAGAGCUUUAUAAGACUUCCGUUGAAUAUUUAAACAACAUUACCUGA